This 468-nucleotide ribosomal RNA is filed under the name uncultured bacterium. Its description in RNAcentral is "partial 16S ribosomal RNA". It matches the Rfam family "Bacterial small subunit ribosomal RNA", at positions 38 to 507 of the family's 1533-position model. The record is from RNAcentral.
GAAGAAAGAGGGAGGCGUGCUUAACACAUGCAAGUCGAACGGAAAGGCCCUGCUUUUGUGGGGUGCUCGAGUGGCGAACGGGUGAGUAACACGUGAGUAACCUGCCCUUGACUUUGGGAUAACUUCAGGAAACUGGGGCUAAUACCGGAUAGGAGCUCCUGCUGCAUGGUGGGGGUUGGAAAGUUUCGGCGGUUGGGGAUGGACUCGCGGCUUAUCAGCUUGUUGGUGGGGUAGUGGCUUACAAAGGCUUUGACGGGUAGCCGGCCUGAGAGGGUGACCGGCCACAUUGGGACUGAGAUACGGCCCAGACUCCUACGGGAGGCAGCAGUGGGGAAUAUUGCACAAUGGGCGGAAGCCUGAUGCAGCAACGCCGCGUGCGGGAUGACGGCCUUCGGGUUGUAAACCGCUUUCGCCUGUGACGAAGCGUGAGUGACGGUAAUGGGUAAAGAAGCACCGGCUAACUACGUG